UGGCUCAAUGGUUAAGAGCACUGACUGCUCUUCCAGAGGUCCUGAGUUCAAAUCUCAG
Molecule: non-coding RNA, 58 nt
Organism: Rattus norvegicus (Norway rat)
Lineage: Eukaryota; Metazoa; Chordata; Mammalia; Rodentia; Muridae
Source: Rfam